Molecule: ribosomal RNA, 1372 nt
Filed under: uncultured bacterium
Lineage: Bacteria
Description: bacterial SSU rRNA
Rfam family: Bacterial small subunit ribosomal RNA
Source: RNAcentral
GAUGAACGCUGGCGGCGUGCCUAAUACAUGCAAGUCGAGCGAACGGACGAGAAGCUUGCUUCUCUGAUGUUAGCGGCGGACGGGUGAGUAACACGUGGAUAACCUACCUAUAAGACUGGGAUAACUUCGGGAAACCGGAGCUAAUACCGGAUAAUAUUUUGAACCGCAUGGUUCAAAAGUGAAAGACGGUCUUGCUGUCACUUAUAGAUGGAUCCGCGCUGCAUUAGCUAGUUGGUAAGGUAACGGCUUACCAAGGCAACGAUGCAUAGCCGACCUGAGAGGGUGAUCGGCCACACUGGAACUGAGACACGGUCCAGACUCCUACGGGAGGCAGCAGUAGGGAAUCUUCCGCAAUGGGCGAAAGCCUGACGGAGCAACGCCGCGUGAGUGAUGAAGGUCUUCGGAUCGUAAAACUCUGUUAUUAGGGAAGAACAUAUGUGUAAGUAACUGUGCACAUCUUGACGGUACCUAAUCAGAAAGCCACGGCUAACUACGUGCCAGCAGCCGCGGUAAUACGUAGGUGGCAAGCGUUAUCCGGAAUUAUUGGGCGUAAAGCGCGCGUAGGCGGUUUUUUAAGUCUGAUGUGAAAGCCCACGGCUCAACCGUGGAGGGUCAUUGGAAACUGGAAAACUUGAGUGCAGAAGAGGAAAGUGGAAUUCCAUGUGUAGCGGUGAAAUGCGCAGAGAUAUGGAGGAACACCAGUGGCGAAGGCGACUUUCUGGUCUGUAACUGACGCUGAUGUGCGAAAGCGUGGGGAUCAAACAGGAUUAGAUACCCUGGUAGUCCACGCCGUAAACGAUGAGUGCUAAGUGUUAGGGGGUUUCCGCCCCUUAGUGCUGCAGCUAACGCAUUAAGCACUCCGCCUGGGGAGUACGACCGCAAGGUUGAAACUCAAAGGAAUUGACGGGGACCCGCACAAGCGGUGGAGCAUGUGGUUUAAUUCGAAGCAACGCGAAGAACCUUACCAAAUCUUGACAUCCUUUGACAACUCUAGAGAUAGAGCCUUCCCCUUCGGGGGACAAAGUGACAGGUGGUGCAUGGUUGUCGUCAGCUCGUGUCGUGAGAUGUUGGGUUAAGUCCCGCAACGAGCGCAACCCUUAAGCUUAGUUGCCAUCAUUAAGUUGGGCACUCUGAGUUGACUGCCGGUGACAAACCGGAGGAAGGUGGGGAUGACGUCAAAUCAUCAUGCCCCUUAUGAUUUGGGCUACACACGUGCUACAAUGGACAAUACAAAGGGCAGCGAAACCGCGAGGUCAAGCAAAUCCCAUAAAGUUGUUCUCAGUUCGGAUUGUAGUCUGCAACUCGACUACAUGAAGCUGGAAUCGCUAGUAAUCGUAGAUCAGCAUGCUACGGUGAAUACGUUCCCGGGUCU